This 449-nucleotide ribosomal RNA is filed under the name uncultured bacterium. Its description in RNAcentral is "partial 16S ribosomal RNA". It matches the Rfam family "Bacterial small subunit ribosomal RNA", at positions 28 to 523 of the family's 1533-position model. The record is from RNAcentral.
GACGAACGCUGGCGGCAGGCCUAACACAUGCAAGUCGAACGCUGUAGCAAUACAGAGUGGCAGACGGGUGAGUAACGCGUGGGAAUCUUCCUAUCGGUACGGAAUAGCUCAGGGAAACUUGGGGUAAUACCGCAUACGCCCUUCGGGGGAAAGAUUUAUCGCCGAUAGAUGAGCCCGCGUCUGAUUAGCUAGUUGGUGAGGUAAUGGCUCACCAAGGCGACGAUCAGUAGCUGGUCUGAGAGGAUGACCAGCCACACUGGGACUGAGACACGGCCCAGACUCCUACGGGAGGCAGCAGUGGGGAAUAUUGGACAAUGGGCGCAAGCCUGAUCCAGCCAUGCCGCGUGAGUGACGAAGGUCUUCGGAUUGUAAAGCUCUUUUGGCGGGGACGAUAAUGACGGUACCCGCAGAAUAAGCCCCGGCUAACUUCGUGCCAGCAGCCGCAGUAA